UACGGAGGGUGCAAGCGUUAUCCGGAUUCACUGGGUUUAAAGGGUGCGUAGGUGGGCAGGUAAGUCAGUGGUGAAAUCCCCGAGCUUAACUUGGGAACUGCCAUUGAUACUAUUUGUCUUGAAUACUGUGGAGGUCAGCGGAAUAUGUCAUGUAGCGGUGAAAUGCUUAGAUAUGACAUAGAACACCAAUUGCGAAGGCAGCUGGCUACGCAUAUAUUGACACUGAGGCACGAAAGCGUGGGGAUCAAACAGG
This 253-nucleotide ribosomal RNA is filed under the name uncultured bacterium. RNAcentral describes it as "partial 16S ribosomal RNA". It matches the Rfam family "Bacterial small subunit ribosomal RNA", at positions 524 to 776 of the family's 1533-position model. The record is from RNAcentral.